Molecule: ribosomal RNA, 538 nt
Filed under: uncultured bacterium
Lineage: Bacteria
Description: bacterial SSU rRNA
Rfam family: Bacterial small subunit ribosomal RNA
Source: RNAcentral
AUAGAUACCCUGGUAGUCCACGCCCUAAACGAUGCGAACUGGAUGUUGGGUACAUUACGGUACUCAGUGUCGAAGCUAACGCGUUAAGUUCGCCGCCUGGGGAGUACGGUCGCAAGACUGAAACUCAAAGGAAUUGACGGGGGCCCGCACAAGCGGUGGAGUAUGUGGUUUAAUUCGAUGCAACGCGAAGAACCUUACCUGGCCUUGACAUCUGUCGAAUCCUGCAGAGAUGCGGGAGUGCCGCAAGGAACGACAAGACAGGUGCUGCAUGGCUGUCGUCAGCUCGUGUCGUGAGAUGUUGGGUUAAGUCCCGCAACGAGCGCAACCCUUGUCCCUAGUUGCCAGCACGUAAUGGUGGGAACUCUAGGGAGACUGCCGGUGACAAACCGGAGGAAGGUGGGGAUGACGUCAAGUCCUCAUGGCCCUUACGGCCAGGGCUACACACGUACUACAAUGGUCGGUACAGAGGGUUGCGAAGCCGCGAGGCGAAGCCAAUCCCAGAAAACCGAUCCCAGUCCGGAUCGGAGUCUGCAACUCG